Molecule: ribosomal RNA, 253 nt
Filed under: uncultured bacterium
Lineage: Bacteria
Description: partial 16S ribosomal RNA
Rfam family: Bacterial small subunit ribosomal RNA
Source: RNAcentral
UACGUAGGGGGCAAGCGUUAUCCGGAUUUACUGGGUGUAAAGGGAGCGUAGGCGGCGAUGCAAGUCAGAAGUGAAAGCCCGGGGCUCAACUCCGGGACUGCUUUUGAAACUGUGUUGCUAGAUUGCAGGAGAGGUAAGUGGAAUUCCUAGUGUAGCGGUGAAAUGCGUAGAUAUUAGGAGGAACACCAGUGGCGAGGGCGGCUUACUGGACUGUAAAUGACGCUGAGGCUCGAAAGCGUGGGGAGCAAACAGG